Molecule: ribosomal RNA, 274 nt
Filed under: uncultured bacterium
Lineage: Bacteria
Description: partial 16S ribosomal RNA
Rfam family: Bacterial small subunit ribosomal RNA
Source: RNAcentral
AUACGGAGGGUCCGAGCGUUAUCCGGAAUCAUUGGGUUUAAAGGGUCCGUAGGCGGGAAUCUAAGUCAGUGGUGAAAUCUUGCAGCUCAACUGUAAAAUUGCCAUUGAUACUGGAUUUCUUGAAUUAGUGUGAAGUGGUUAGAAUGUGUAGUGUAGCGGUGAAAUGCGUAGAUAUUGCACAGAAUACCAAUUGCGAAGGCAGAUCACUAACACUAUAUUGACGCUAAGGGACGAAAGCGUGGGGAGCGAACAGGAUUAGAAACCCUAGUAGUCC